GAGUUUGAUCAUGGCUCAGGAUAAACGCUGGCGGCGCACAUAAGACAUGCAAGUCGAACGGACCGAAUUAAGAUAUUUAUAUUUUAAGGAGGUUAGUGGCGGACUGGUGAGUAACACGUAAGUAACCUGGCUGUUAGAGGGGAAUAACAGUGAGAAAUCAUUGCUAAAUACCACAUACUCUAUAUCGGUUGCAUGACAGAUAUAGGAAAGGAGAAAUCCGCUAACAGAUGGGCUUGCGGCUGAUUAGCUAGUUGGUUAGGUAAGGCUGACCAAGGCAACGAUCAGUAGCCGAGUUGAGAGACUGAACGGCCACA
RNAcentral lists this ribosomal RNA (314 nucleotides) under uncultured bacterium. RNAcentral's name for it is "bacterial SSU rRNA". It matches the Rfam family "Bacterial small subunit ribosomal RNA", at positions 9 to 312 of the family's 1533-position model. The record is from RNAcentral.